RNAcentral lists this ribosomal RNA (401 nucleotides) under uncultured bacterium. RNAcentral's name for it is "bacterial SSU rRNA". It matches the Rfam family "Bacterial small subunit ribosomal RNA", at positions 28 to 416 of the family's 1533-position model. The record is from RNAcentral.
GACGAACGCUGGCGGCGUGCUUAACACAUGCAAGUCGAGGGCACUAUUGGGGCAACCUGGUAGUGACCGGCGAACGGGUGCGUAACACGUGAGCGACCUUGCCUCGUGGUGGGGGAUAGCCGGCCCAACGGCCGGGUAAUACCGCAUAUGGUAGUUUCUUCGCAUGGGGAGACUAGCAAAGCCUUGGAGCAAUCCAAUGGCGCCACAGGGGGGGCUCGCGGCCUAUCAGCUAGUGGGGGGGUAAUGGCCCACCAAGGCGACGACGGGUAGCUGGUCUGAGAGGAUGGCCAGCCACAUUGGGACUGAGAGACGGCCCAGACUCCUACGGGAGGCAGCAGUGGGGAAUCUUGCGCAAUGGCCGAAAGGCUGACGCAGCGACGCCGCGGUGGGGGAGGAAGGCC